CCUACGGGAGGCAGCAGUGGGGGAUAUUGCACAAUGGGGGGAACCCUGAUGCAGCGACGCCGCGUGGGUGAAGGAGUGCUUCGGCAUGUAAAGCCCUAUCGGCAGGGAAGAAGAAAGACGGUACCUGACUAAGAAGCCCCGGCUAACUACGUUCCAGCAGCCGCGGUAAUACGUAGGGGGCGAGCGUUAGCCGGAUCCACUGGGUGUAAAGGGAGCGUAGACGGCCAUGCAAGCCAGGGGUGAAAGCCCGGGGCUCAACCCCGGGACUGCCCUUGGAACUGUGCGGCUAGAGUGCGGGAGGGGCAGGCGGAAUUCCUGGUGUAGCGGUGAAAUGCGUAGAUAUCAGGAGGAACACCGGCGGCGAAGGCGGCCUGCUGGACCGCGACUGACGUUGAGGCUCGAAAGCGUGGGGAGCGAACAGGAUUAGAUACCCUUGUAGUC
Molecule: ribosomal RNA, 441 nt
Filed under: uncultured bacterium
Lineage: Bacteria
Description: partial 16S ribosomal RNA
Rfam family: Bacterial small subunit ribosomal RNA
Source: RNAcentral